RNAcentral lists this ribosomal RNA (93 nucleotides) under Alkalicoccobacillus murimartini. Lineage: Bacteria; Bacillati; Bacillota; Bacilli; Caryophanales; Bacillaceae. The record is from RNAcentral.
UUUGGUGGCGAUAGCGAAGAGGUCACACCCGUUCCCAUACCGAACACGGAAGUUAAGCUCUUCAGCGCCGAUGGUAGUCGGGGGUUUCCNUAA